This 253-nucleotide ribosomal RNA is filed under the name uncultured bacterium. RNAcentral's name for it is "partial 16S ribosomal RNA". It matches the Rfam family "Bacterial small subunit ribosomal RNA", at positions 524 to 776 of the family's 1533-position model. The record is from RNAcentral.
GACGUAGGAGGCGAGCGUUGUCCGGAUUCAUUGGGCGUAAAGAGCGCGCAGGCGGCUUGGUAAGUCGGAUGUGAAAUCCCGAGGCUCAACCUCGGGUCUGCAUCCGAUACUGCCCGGCUAGAGGUAGGUAGGGGAGAUCGGAAUUCCUGGUGUAGCGGUGAAAUGCGCAGAUAUCAGGAGGAACACCGGUGGCGAAGGCGGAUCUCUGGGCCUUACCUGACGCUGAGGAGCGAAAGCGUGGGGAGCGAACAGG